RNAcentral lists this ribosomal RNA (429 nucleotides) under Actinomycetes bacterium. RNAcentral describes it as "Actinobacteria bacterium partial 16S ribosomal RNA". It matches the Rfam family "Bacterial small subunit ribosomal RNA", at positions 355 to 776 of the family's 1533-position model. The record is from RNAcentral. Lineage: Bacteria; Bacillati; Actinomycetota; Actinomycetes.
UAGGGAAUCUUCCGCAAUGGGCGAAAGCUUGACGGAGCAACGCCGCGUGAGUGAUGAAGGUCUUCGGAUCGUAAAACUCUGUUAUUAGGGAAGAACAAAUGUGUAAGUAACUAUGCACGUCUUGACGGUACCUAAUCAGAAAGCCACGGCUAACUACGUGCCAGCAGCCGCGGUAAUACGUAGGUGGCAAGCGUUAUCCGGAAUUAUUGGGCGUAAAGCGCGCGUAGGCGGUUUUUUAAGUCUGAUGUGAAAACCCACGGCUCAACCGUGGAGGGUCAUUGGAAACUGGAAAACUUGAGUGCAGAAGAGGAAAGUGGAAUUCCAUGUGUAGCGGUGAAAUGCGCAGAGAUAUGGAGGAACACCAGUGGCGAAGGCGACUUUCUGGUCUGUAACUGACGCUGAUGUGCGAAAGCGUGGGGAUCAAACAGG